Molecule: unclassified non-coding RNA, 394 nt
Filed under: fungal sp.
Lineage: Eukaryota; Fungi
Description: partial internal transcribed spacer region
Rfam family: Eukaryotic small subunit ribosomal RNA (bases 1-46)
Source: RNAcentral
AAGUCGUAACAAGGUUUCCGUAGGUGAACCUGCGGAAGGAUCAUUAACACGUAUCCACGUUCAAGCAACCGAGGAUCCAUAUCAAUCUCUCCCUCUGGAGGAAAAUGAGUGCGGCCUGGUUUCGGGUAUGAGUGAGGUCCUCGGACCAACCAUUUCCUCGCUAACUUAGACUUCGGUCUAGACCACUGUAUUUCACAAGAGGCUUUAACUCCUUGACUGCGUAGGGUAUCACCUCUCCCCGGCGGUCUCAUAGGAAACUUAUCAAACACUAUAUUCACCACUUUUUUGCUAGUUGACUUUUAUACUGUUGUUCUUUGCCUAAACAGCAAUGGGCACACGUUUAAUUAUUUGAACGUUAAAAAUACAACUCUUAGCAAUGGAUAUCUCGGUUCUC